GGGGAGGAGAGUCCCCUCUAGUCCCAUCCCGGUGGAGCUGGAGGCUCCCCGCCGCCCUCCCCCCUUGCCCGGAGGCCGUCUUUGGCUACCGGCCCUGUUUCCCGGGCUCUGGCUGAGGGCCUGGGGGGAGGGAUGGAAUAACGACUUGCUGAGGCGUUUGCGUGGGGCAGCUGGAAAGCCGAGUCUGACACGGUAGGCGUGAAUUAACCAAGGGACCACACCUCUGUUGGGAAAUGUAGGGAUCUACACGUUGAGAAAGGUUAAGGGGCUUCGUAAGAUCUCAGAAUGAAUCACUCGGCCAUGACUGCUGUGCACUUCCACUGCAGCUGAUGCGUGUUCCCCACCAACCUGGAAUGAGAUCUGAGGAACAGGGAGAAGCCUCCUGCAAACAUCUGUGAGACCUCCCUUCUGUUGAGUGCACUCUGCCACUCCUGGAAGGUUUUGUAGAGCACCCCGCAGGACAACCACCCAAAGCUUACGGACAAGUAAUGGGAAGAGCACCAGGGAUGAGUAUUAUAGCUAUACCAGAGAAAUCCAUUUAACAAUCCAAACUUCAGACUACCUACUACACCUGUCAACACAUUCUACUUGAUGACGUAUCCUUCCAGAAAUUUUCAAAUGAAACACAGGACACAGAAGCCUUUCUUCACUACUUUUUAAACUGCAAUUCAAUAGUAUUUUGUUUUUGUUUGCUACACACAUACAAGCCUGUCUUUUUAACAUAAAAUUAUGAUGGAAAGACACAAGAGUAGCAAUAUGCUAAAUUUAGUCAUUUUUAGUGCAGCUCAGCUGAUUCACUGACCUAGAAUCUUUCUUCCAGUAAGGGCUCAAUGUCUCAAAUAUAUAAAUCUCAAGGCUCUUGGUCUGCAGUAAAUAUUUCUGAACAAGCCAGUGUAUUUCCAACUAUAAUCCCAAAUUGUCAGAUAAACCCACAGAAGUUCUAUUGUAAUUUUUCUGCAAUUAAGGAAUUCUGUUUUCCUGCACUGUCAA
Molecule: long non-coding RNA, 990 nt
Organism: Harpia harpyja (harpy eagle)
Lineage: Eukaryota; Metazoa; Chordata; Aves; Accipitriformes; Accipitridae
Exons: 3
Source: RefSeq, a predicted model, not a curated record